This is a long non-coding RNA of Salmo salar (Atlantic salmon), 2226 nucleotides long. RefSeq lists it as uncharacterized. NCBI's taxonomy places the organism in Eukaryota, Metazoa, Chordata, Actinopteri, Salmoniformes, Salmonidae. The record is from RefSeq and is a predicted model, not a curated record.
AUUGCGCAUGUGCAGUGAGAGCAAGCAAUUACACUAGAGCGCUAUUGAAAUCAAAUGUGGGUCCAACGUUACUUUGGAUUGACAUGAGGAUGUUAGCUUCUACCUAGCUGAAUACCAGUGCUCUCAGAACCACGUUGUGGAGUUGAUGAUAACGUUAUUUGAAGCUGCAGUAUGGGUGAGAUGAGGAUCUACUGUUCCAUGUGGGUUAGGGUAUCACGUGGACAGUGUGUUUAAAGCAGAGCCACUACUGUUUAUUCAUUUCACUUUGUACUUAUUGUACUCAGAUUGUUUUAUGCACUUUACUAACAGAUUUAUUUCACUUGAUUGUGAUUUAGACUGAACUUUAUUUUAUGGUGACUUCAUCUUGUGGUGAUUUCCCUUAUACAUGAUCCUUUUUAAAUUUAAGCUUUGACAGAAUAAACAACCCUAAUUAGUUUGUGUCCUGUGCUGGGUUUACUUUCGCCAGGCUACACAUUUUGGUACCAGGAGUGGGGUUUUGAUAGCUUUGUUAGGGUAGUGAAGUGCAUAAUUAUGGUAGUGGUGAAGAGUGGUACGGGGCCAGAGAAAUCUGACGAGGGACCAGGGGAUCUGACAACAGGCAGUGAGGCCUGCCUGGGGUUGCUGUCUGUAACCAGACUGCCGGGAUCCAGAGAAUGCCGCGAACCGUUGUAGAUUAUCACAGAUCGUCACUGACCAUCACAGAGGACCAUCUGCCAUCAUCUCCAUCCAUCCAGAAACUUUCAGAGACUGUUUCUACUCUACAGUAUAUCCAUGAACUGAGUUUGUGUACAAACAUUUCACAAUGUCAAAGCCAGCAGGUGAUGGGGAAGUCGCCCCUGGUGAAGAGGGUAACCCUGUAGUUGACUUACAGUCACAGAUUGCAGAGCUAAAAAGGAAACAUGACGAAGCAAUGGCAACUAUUGCCGCUCUGGUUAAUGGAUCCACAAAGGCAUGCGUGUCUGUACUAGAGGUCGACCGAUUAAUCGGAAUGGCCGAUUAAUUAGGGCCGAUUUCAAGUUUUCAUAACAAUCGGUAAUCGGUAUUUUUGGCAACAGAUUUGCCGAAUAUUUUAUUUUGUUUGAUUUUUAUUUUUUAAACAUUUUUUUUAACUAGGCAAGUCAGUUAAGAACACAUUCUUAUUUUCAAUGACGGCCUAGGAACGGUGGGUUAACUGCCUUGUUCAGGGGCAGAACGACAGAUUUUUACCUUGUCAGCUUGGGGAUUCAAUCUUGCAACCUUACUAGUCCAAUGCUCUAACCACCUGCUUUACUGGGUACUGGUAAAUACAACACAACAAACUAACAGCAUAACUCAUCACACACAGCUGUCUGUGCGGGUCGCUACAAUAUUUACUUAUUAUUCAUUACCAAGUGAAAAUACCUUCAAACAAAAGACGAACUUCUACUUUAGUCAACUUUAUUGCAACAUGAAAAAAUCCCUUAAAUCUCUUACAAAAUAAGGAUUUUUAUUGUUAGAUAUUUUGAUUAAUUAGAUUAAACAAAGAUAUAGACCUACUCAAUAACAUCUGUAGCCCAUAGUAUGGUGAGUAGCCUAGAUCGCUAAUUAUUUUUCUUCUCUUUUUAAUAUUACAAGUAACAAUGAAAAUCACCAACUCUGACUCUGUCUUAAUCUGUUUCUUUCUUCUAAGCAUUUUUCCAUCCUGGAGUCUGAGACCUUGUGGGAAUCUGGUAGACAAGAAGAAUGUAUGACAAUUUAGCAUAGCAUUACCCCUAAUUAUCAUCAUCAUGAUUUCUGUGGUUUAGGCAUAUAGCUAGCUAGUUGUGUUAUCCAGCUAGCAAUAAUAGUGUGCUUGCUAAAAACAAAGAUUUUAUAACUAACCCAUGAUAGACCAGAGCCUGUCGUUUCCAAUGGGAGCAAAUGAAUCAUAGUGGACAGAGAGAUCCUAUUGGUGCGUUCUAGCAUUUAUUUCCGUUAGGCAACACCUACUCUGUGAAGUGUGCGUGUGCAACAAAACAUUUUUAAACUUUGGCAAACUCAGUCCACUCUGUUUGUUACAGAUUAGCGUUUUGGAAACAGAAAGCUGUAUGGAGAUCAAAUGUUUCAUCAAUGAGAAAAUGUAUUUCGAGAGUGUUGUGCAGAUGGGCAUCUCUUGACAUGAUGCCAUAAUAAAUAAUUGCACCAAUGCAUCCCAUCCAAAAGUGAGAAUGUUCCUCAACAGUGAAACUCUUGCAAGGUUAUAUGAUGGAAUAAAAGUUUUUCUUGUGA